UACGUAGGGGGCAAGCGUUGUCCGGAAUUAUUGGGCGUAAAGAGCGUGUAGGCGGCCAGAUAAGUCCGCUGUGAAAUCUCGAGGCUCAACUUCGAGCUGUCGGUGGAAACUGUCUGGCUAGAGUCCGGAAGAGGAGAAUGGAAUUCCUGGUGUAGCGGUGAAAUGCGCAGAUAUCAGGAAGAACACCCGUGGCGAAGGCGGUUCUCUGGGACGGUACUGACGCUGGAGACGACGAAAGCCGUGGGGAGCGAACAGG
This 256-nucleotide ribosomal RNA is filed under the name uncultured bacterium. RNAcentral describes it as "partial 16S ribosomal RNA". It matches the Rfam family "Bacterial small subunit ribosomal RNA", at positions 524 to 776 of the family's 1533-position model. The record is from RNAcentral.